CUGAAGCUGGCGGCGUGCUUUAACACAUGCAAGUCGAGCGGAGAUAUUUAAGCGGAGAGCUUCGGCAGGAAACUUGAUAAUCUUAGCGGCGGACCGGGGUGAGUAAACGUGUGGGCAACCUGCCCCUGUACUGUGGAAUAAUCACUGGAAAACGGGUGACUAAUACCGCAUGUCAUUGCGAGAGGGCGAUCCUCUUGCAAGAAAAGGAUUUAUUCGGUACAGGAUGGGCCCGCAUCUGAUUAGCUAGUUGGUGAGAUAACAGCCCACCAAGGCAACGAUCAGUAGCCGACCUGAGAGGGUGAUCGGCCACAUUGGGACUGAGACACGGCCCAAACUCCUACGGGAGGCAGCAGUGGGGAAUAUUGCACAAUGGGCGAAAGCCUGAUGCAGCAACGCCGCGUGAAGGAUGAAGGGUUUUCGGCCCGUAAACUUCUAUCAAUAGGGACGAAAAAAAUGACGGUACCUAAAUAAGAAGCCCCGGCUAACUACGUG
Molecule: ribosomal RNA, 492 nt
Filed under: uncultured bacterium
Lineage: Bacteria
Description: bacterial SSU rRNA
Rfam family: Bacterial small subunit ribosomal RNA
Source: RNAcentral